Molecule: transfer RNA, 72 nt
Filed under: Schizophyllum amplum
Lineage: Eukaryota; Fungi; Basidiomycota; Agaricomycetes; Agaricales; Schizophyllaceae
Description: Auriculariopsis ampla tRNA
Rfam family: tRNA
About the family: Transfer RNA (tRNA) molecules are approximately 80 nucleotides in length. Their secondary structure includes four short double-helical elements and three loops (D, anti-codon, and T loops).
Source: Rfam by way of RNAcentral
AGCAGCAUGGCACAGUGGCAGCGCGCGGGGCUCAUAACCCCGAGGUCACUCGAUCGAAACGAGUUGCUGCUA